GAUGAACGCUGGCGACGUGCCUAAUACAUGCAAGUAGAACGCUGAAGCUUGGUGCUUGCACCGAGCGGAUGAGUUGCGAACGGGUGAGUAACGCGUAGGUAACCUGCCUCUUAGCGGGGGAUAACUAUUGGAAACGAUAGCUAAUACCGCAUAAAAGUCGAUAUCGCAUGAUAUUGAUUUGAAAGGUGCAAUUGCAUCACUAAGAGAUGGACCUGCGUUGUAUUAGCUAGUUGGUGAGGUAACGGCUCACCAAGGCGACGAUACAUAGCCGACCUGAGAGGGUGAUCGGCCACACUGGGACUGAGACACGGCCCAGACUCCUACGGGAGGCAGCAGUAGGGAAUCUUCGGCAAUGGGGGCAACCCUGACCGAACAACGCCGCGUGAGUGAAGAAGGUUUUCGGAUCGUAAAGCUCUGUUGUAAGAGAAGAACGAGUGUGAGAGUGGAAAGUUCACACUGUGACGGUAACUUAACAGAAAGGGACGGCUAACUACGUG
RNAcentral lists this ribosomal RNA (497 nucleotides) under uncultured bacterium. RNAcentral describes it as "partial 16S ribosomal RNA". It matches the Rfam family "Bacterial small subunit ribosomal RNA", at positions 28 to 507 of the family's 1533-position model. The record is from RNAcentral.